CCUACGGGAGGCAGCAGUGGGGAAUAUUGGGCAAUGGAGGAAACUCUGACCCAGCAACGCCGCGUGAAUGAUGAAGUUCUUCGGAUUGUAAAGUUCUUUUCUAAGGGAAGAAGAAAGUGACGGUACCUUAGGAAUAAGCCUCGGCCAACUACGUGCCAGCAGCCGCGGUAAUACGUAGGAGGCCAGCGUUAUUCGGAAUGACUGGGCGUAAAGGGGGCGUAGGUGGUUUGACAAGUUGGUAGCGUAACUCCGAGGCUUAACCUCGGCACUACUGCCAAAACUGUUGGACUCGAGUGCAGGAGGGGCAAAUGGAAUUCCUAGUGUAGCGGUGGAAUGCGUAGAUAUUAGGAGGAACACCAGUGGCGAAGGCGAUUUGCUGGACUGUAACUGACACUGAGGCACGAAAGCGUGGGGAGCAAACAGGAUUAGAUACCCCUGUAGUC
RNAcentral lists this ribosomal RNA (443 nucleotides) under uncultured bacterium. Its description in RNAcentral is "partial 16S ribosomal RNA". It matches the Rfam family "Bacterial small subunit ribosomal RNA", at positions 338 to 795 of the family's 1533-position model. The record is from RNAcentral.